CUUUUCCCUUGAUAGCAGACUUCUUAUUAGGUUCUGCCAGUGGGAGCUCCUAGGAGUUUGAAAGAUGGAAAUAGAGGAGCUACUUCUUCCUACUUUCCUGCUUCUGCCAGUUGGCUCCAGCCCCAGGAGUCACUCAGUAAGAUCGUCUCUCUUGCCCCGAGUGGCACAGAAUGAUGACAGGUCACUUUGCUGCCAUGUUUGGUGGAGAUGCGGACAGUGGAUCUGACAGCUCAGAGAGCAGAGUGAAGAGAAAGAGAAACCAACUCAUUCAAACCACUUAUUCACGUCUCCCCGAAGCUUCGGACUUUACACCGAAUUUUUAUUAAUGCAAACGUCUGAGCACACCAGAAAGAGUAAGAAGAACCAUAGAGAAAGAAGCCUCCUCUAGAAGAAUGGUAAUAUCUUCUACAUCAGAAAUAGCAGCAUGUGGCCUCACUAGUACUACAGCACUUGCUAAAGUCAUGAGGAAAGAUCCCAAACUCUCUGCAGUUAGGCUUUGCAAGCUUCCUGGCGUUGGCCUCGUGUUUGGGGUGUACUAGGAGAGAGUGAGGGGUUCCAAGGGAAGGCCGGAGGUGCUGGCGGAUCUCAGGCAUCAUAAAUAACAAUGAGAAAAACACGGAUGUGCAGAAAUCAAUAAGCCGAGACUCACUCAGGAGGCUUUGAGAAGCCAGUCGGUGCCUAUGGACCAGGCUGAACAUCUGUCAGGCAAACAAAAAGCAAACUGAGAAGAACAAAGGCGAGAGGGAUUAUUUUCACUCAAGUUCUUCUUCAGGCUCAGCAGGUGACAUCCAAGCUGCUUGGCCUUCCUUCCUUCAGACACUGAAACUCCACGGAGGGUAUGCUGCCCAGCAAACCCCACACCAGCAACCCCAGCACAAAAGAAAGAGGAAGAAAACAAAACGCAGAUGGAAAAUUCAGGCAGAGCCACACCGUGGCCAUGUCAAAGCUUCCCACGUCCUCGCUAAUUUCCACAGAACCAUUCUGCUUGAGUGGCAGAACCAUUAAUCUCCAAGGGGCGUGUAAGAGCAGUUAAUUGAACUCUUACUCUCCUCCUUUUUCAUUCUUAAGGCCAGAAGCUGGGGAAAAGGAGGAAAGCGGAGGAGCCACAGGUCUUUGCAAAACGAACAGAGCUCAGAGACAGCCAGAUCCCAGGCACAGGGCGCAGCCAUGAGUAACAAAAACGGUUCACAGUGGGGAAGCCACACUGUGCCAUGUGCUGGCUUCUCUCACUGCCUUCAGUCUUCACCCAGCUGCUAUGAGGCUACCCACAGCUUUGUGCACACUCAGGAGACAAGGUGUCCCUGGGGCUGGGAGUGGGGCUGCCCAAGUCUUCCCUGUUCAACAGUUGACAAAACCACUCAGGAAUUAGCCCAAAUUCCCACAGCUGGUAUGUGCCUAGGUGAUAGUGCAUUACAAACCUACCAACAAAAUUAAGAUCACCAAAUAACAUUUAUAAGGCGGCUUGGGGGUCAAGUUUUAUGGGUUAAGUUUAGACAUACCCAACACUAUGAUUUUUAAAUAUGUCCACAAAUUCUUUGAUAUUCCUCUUUUCAAAAGGCAGAGUCUCCUUCCUUUCCCAUAAGCGUGGCAGCGCUUCACACCUCACUUCGCACACACAGAACAUGAAGCAACGAAGAGGUGUCACUUGUCAUAAGAAAGCGUGUGUACCCUGCUCACUUCCUCGGGUCUCUUGCUCUGGGGGAGUCCAGUUGCCAUGUGGUGAGGGCACUCAAGCAGCACUGUGGAGAGUCCUCGUGGUGAGGAGCCAAAACCCCCCACCCGGCAGCCAACACUCACUGGCCAGGCAUGGGAUUCAGCCAUUUCAGAAGCAGAUCUUCCAACCAGGUCGAGGUCAAGGUCAAGCCUUCAGACGACUUCAGCCGAGCUUCAUGGCAGUGUUCUAAGACACCCCAAGCCCGAACUGCCCAGCAAAGCUACACUGACAGACUGUGUUAGAGGAAAACUGUUUAGCAUUAAACCAUUUAAUUUGGGGGUAAUUUGUCAUGCAUCAACAGAUAGCUCAGACUUCCACCUUUAUCUACCUUAUGCCUAAUAUGAGAUACCACAGUUGCCAAGGCUGAAAUGUAACGUAAAUGCCCUAUCCCUUUCGGUGAAACUGGAGAUUGGCAGGCACUGUGGAACGACAAAGCUGAGAAAGCUGUUCCUCUAACUCAUGUUGCUCUCCCAGGGCACAGCUGGACUGCACUUCUCAGCCCCCUUGCAGCUGGGUGCAAGGGGACUGAGGUGCCAUCAGUGGAAUAUGGGUCAAAGCGGUUAUCCUGCUUCCAAGCCUGACUCAUAAAACCUUCCCUGGUGGCUGCUAUAAACCGAAUGCGCCCCAGAAUUCCCAUGUUGAAGGCCUAAUCCCCAGUGUGACCAUGUUUGGAGACAGGGCUUUGAGGAGGUAAAGUUAAGUGAGGUCAUGAGAACAGGGCCCUGAGCCAUAGGCUUGGUGACCUUACCAGAAGAGGAAGAGAAGUCUUUCUCAUUCCACAUGAACACACCAAGGAAAGGCCAAGUGAGGACACAGCAAGAAGGCAGCCAUCUGCAGCUCAAGGAGAGAGCCCUCCCCAGAGCCUGACCCUGCUGAUGCUUUGAUCUCAGACUUCCAGCCUCCAGAACUGGGAGAAAAUAAACUCCUGCCGUUUAAGUCACCCAGUCUAUGGUAUUUUGUUACGGCAGCCUGAGCAAACUAAGGCAGAUUCUCCAUGUUCCCUCUUUUCCCAUCUGCGUGCUGGAUAUUGAGACUCUGGGCAACCUUGGAAAUCACACGUGGAAGGUGGCAGAACCCCGUCGGCUUGGGUGCCUGAAUGUCUCCAUGGAGCGGAGACCUCACACCACUGCUGUAACCGCUCCUCAGGGUCACCUACCGUGAGCUUCACAAGAAAGAAACUUCUACUGUGUUUUGCCACUGAAAGUUCAGGCUUGUUGGUUAUGGCAGCUAGUAUUCUAUAACUAAUACCUGUUACAUUCAUUGUGUUAAUUGUAUCAGAGUUUCUUUGUAUGUUUGCUAACAUUAGGGAAUCCCUAUUUUAUUAUUUCACGAACCUGUAGUUUCAACUCCCGCGGACUGACUCAGAAAACAAUGACAUACAACUGCCUGUGGUGAGGGCCGGUUUCUUGUUCAGGAUCGUGCAUUCCAGUGCCUAUAUGAGCCCAGGGCUGUGGUUUUGGGGGUGCCUGUUUGACUCUAAUGGAUGCCGUCAGACAACUCUUGUUCACAGGGCAGCGUGACUUUGGAGAAGAAUUGAACCUCUCUGAGUCCCGGGUUCUCCAUCUAUGUGACGAAGCGGAGGUGCUGUCCGAAAUGAACUAACGCACUGAAGGAGCCUAGCACCACCAUGAGCUCACAGGCAGGCUCCUUUGCCUUCUCCUGUUCCUGCCUCCUGCUGUGCCAGCUCAUUGUCCUGGACUCUGGCCGGCUGGGUUAACAUGAAGCUCCUUUCUUACCUUUGUUGACCUACUGUGGCUAACAAAACCCAGUUGCAGACCCAGGAGGAGCAAGAAGCACUUUCCUUUUAUGUCUGCGGCCCGCAGUAAUCCUCCUCCCAGAGUCUCCCAGAGAGGAGAGACUGUCGGCUGUGCCCCUCCCCUUAAGCCCACUGCUCUGCUUGGCUCUUGCUUGAGACAUAUGGCAGGGGCUUUGUCUUCAAAUAUGUCUGCUUUCAAGUUGAAUACAACCAUUGUCUGGGCCUGGGCCCUCCAGGAAUUUACUGAUGAGGGCAGGUUGAUGACGGCACAGAAUUUCAGUUGAAAGUUUCCAGUUGGCUGGUUGUCAGCAGCUGAGAUGGCCAGGGAGCUGACCUGGGCUGAGAUUCCCAAACUGCCCCC
Molecule: long non-coding RNA, 3831 nt
Organism: Piliocolobus tephrosceles (Ugandan red Colobus)
Lineage: Eukaryota; Metazoa; Chordata; Mammalia; Primates; Cercopithecidae
Exons: 4
Source: RefSeq, a predicted model, not a curated record